Molecule: long non-coding RNA, 210 nt
Filed under: Elaeis guineensis (African oil palm)
Lineage: Eukaryota; Viridiplantae; Streptophyta; Magnoliopsida; Arecales; Arecaceae
Description: long non-coding RNA (EGUI_LNC002447)
Source: RNAcentral
AGAAGCCACCGCCUCCUUCCCCAGUUGAUCAGCAAACACCUCAUGCCAUGUCUACCUCCUUCUUUACCAUCUCAUGCUCCGCUGAUUUGUUAGCAAAAGAAGGUCUUUCAAUCGCAGCUUAUUGCACUUCUUCACCACCUAACACCCACCCGCACCACCUCAGAUCCUGAUUGAUUAGCAAGGUGGAUGCUGUUGAAAGAAGAUUGAGAG